AUUGAACGCUGGCGGCAUGCCUUACACAUGCAAGUCGAACGGCAGCACGGACUUCGGUCUGGUGGCGAGUGGCGAACGGGUGAGUAAAGUAUCGGAACAUACCUUGUAGUGGGGGAUAACUAUCCGAAAGGAUAGCUAAUACCGCAUACGCUCUGAGGAGGAAAGCGGGGGGAUCUUCGGACCUCGUGCUAUAAGAGUGGCCGAUAUCUGAUUAGCUAGUUGGUGAGGUAAAGGCUCACCAAGGCGACGAUCAGUAGCUGGUCUGAGAGGACGACCAGCCACACUGGAACUGAGACACGGUCCAGACUCCUACGGGAGGCAGCAGUGGGGAAUUUUGGACAAUGGGGGCAACCCUGAUCCAGCAAUGCCGCGUGAGUGAAGAAGGCCU
RNAcentral lists this ribosomal RNA (388 nucleotides) under uncultured bacterium. RNAcentral describes it as "bacterial SSU rRNA". It matches the Rfam family "Bacterial small subunit ribosomal RNA", at positions 30 to 417 of the family's 1533-position model. The record is from RNAcentral.